RNAcentral lists this ribosomal RNA (448 nucleotides) under uncultured Sphingobacteriales bacterium. Its description in RNAcentral is "bacterial SSU rRNA". It matches the Rfam family "Bacterial small subunit ribosomal RNA", at positions 933 to 1382 of the family's 1533-position model. The record is from RNAcentral. Lineage: Bacteria; Pseudomonadati; Bacteroidota; Sphingobacteriia; Sphingobacteriales.
UGGAGCAUGUGGUUUAAUUCGAAGCAACGCGAAGAACCUUACCAGGCCUUGACAUGCAGAGAACUUUCCAGAGAUGGAUUGGUGCCUUCGGGAACUCUGACACAGGUGCUGCAUGGCUGUCGUCAGCUCGUGUCGUGAGAUGUUGGGUUAAGUCCCGUAACGAGCGCAACCUUACCUUUAGUUGCCAUCAGGUAAUGCUGGGGACUCUAAAGGAACUGCCUACGCAAGUAGUGAGGAAGGCGGGGAUGACGUCAAAUCAGCACGGCCCUUACGUCCAGGGCUACACACGUGCUACAAUGGCCGAUACAGAGGGCAGCUACCUGGUGACAGGAUGCAAAUCUCCAAAGUCGGUCUCAGUUCGGAUCGGAGUCUGCAACCCGACUCCAUGAAGUUGGAAUCGCUAGUAAUCGCGCAUCAGCAUGGCGCGGUGAAUACGUUCCCGGGCCUU